AUGUACUCCCCCUCCCUCUUCGAGGCUUCCCCCACUUUUCUUUUCUCCCCCCCCGUCCGCCACCAAAAACCCUCCCUCACAACCUCAUCAAGUGAUUUGGGUUUGGAAAUACCCGAUGAAGGGAAUUGUUAAGAAAAUAGGCGGUGAAAUGCCUGGAGACGAUUGCUUAGUGCAGCCCUUAUUUGGAGGUGCUAUAAGUAGUUGCUUUCCUCAAAGGUUUUAGGUGGUUCCUCAUCUUAUUUUCUUUCAAAUGUAAUGAUUUUUGGUUUUUGGAUAAUCCAAAUAUAAUCCUAGAAGUGGGGAAACUAACACAUGCCUUUGCUUCGGACAGGAUGCAAGCAACAUACGGAAAGUUCCUGAUCAUCAGAUUCACUAAUAGUUUUACUGCUAAGCUUAUAUUUAUAUUAAUUUGAUGAAGUCUGGGUUUGUUGACAUAGUUCUUGUGUUACUAAAUCUCUGUAGGAGGUUUUUGCAGAUCCUUGCUGGGAUGAGAGCCUGAUUUUUUAGCUGAAACAUGAGGUUGGAGAUGCUGGAGGUGCUGUCUGGUUUUUAUGUGACACUGCCCAUGAACAAGAUGCUGAGAAACCAUGUGAUAGGUAGCCUUGGAACAGAUGGUGAAGCCUUGAGAGAUAUGUAUGCCUCAUGGUAUGUUGUACCUUACUAUACGGGACGGUACCGGGCAUACCAUACUGUACCAAUGGUAUACUGUGUACUGUACCGUACCGACACGAUGAUAGGGUGGCAUCAGUAUGAGGUCCGAUACCGGUAUGGCGAAUCUUGGUAUGCCUCUUUAUAAUCUUCUUAAUGCUCUUAAAUCAGCAAUCAGAUCCCUUUAUAUUUCCACAGAUUGUAUUUGAAGUAGAAUUUGUUGGGUGGUGCACGCUCCUAUUUAAUGAGGACACUUUCUGUGGUCUAUGGAACAUCGAUACCUAUUGUUUGUUUGUCAUUUGACAUCUUGUGUUGAAAGCCCAGUGUAAUAGAAGUAGCAGGCUUUGAGGUAAUUUGAUUAUUAAAACUGCAGCCAAAGCCAUUUACUAAUUGAUUUUUUUAAUUGUUUGUUAAAUAACCAGGUGCUCGAGCAUUCUGGCACUCUUGAGGCAGCUGGUUUAGGUUAUGGAGGUGGAACCACAAUAGUUACAACAGCAGUUGGUCAAAUGGUUAUAUCAAAAGGAAGACAAGUAAGGGAGGCACAGAAUGUUGGGUGGGUAUAUCUGGCAAAUUUGCAUCUGAAGGAAGUUUCUUCUGAUGUGCUUGAUUACUGUAUAUGAGCCGAUAUUGAUGAAGUGCAUCACUCCAACUGAUGGUUUUAGUUGCAGCUGAAAACCAAAUCACCGAGGCAGAUUAGAACAUUGCCCGAAUGUCAUUAUGAGGCUACAAAUCUUUCCACUGUUUUCGAACUUCAGCUCUCAAUUAGAAAGAUGGUUCGGUGUGCCAUAUCGUCAGCUCUGUCGCUGUUGUUUUCGCUGUCACCGCUGUCUAUUAUUAGUGCUGUUGCUGCUUCUCACAUUAUUGUAUUUGCUCAUGUUACCAUUGCUGGGCCCAGGUGGAGAGCUCCAUUCCUGAUAGGUUUGAAAGUGGCAGGCCCUAUCUGUUUGUCAGUUGCGAGCUUUCAUGGGCCUUGCACCUGAUCGGUUUGAGUUGUGGGUUCCAUUGCUUCUUCUGAGCUGGUUCCGAUCAUAUAUGUUUAAAGAGAUGGCAUGAAAUGUCUUGCUUUCACUAUCAAUAAUUCUAGUAACGUGGGCCAUGUAAGGUUGGAGCUUCACUGGUUUUUCGAUGUCACGUUAAAAAAAGAACAAGAAGAAUGCUUUGCCGUGCA
Molecule: non-coding RNA, 1816 nt
Organism: Phoenix dactylifera (date palm)
Lineage: Eukaryota; Viridiplantae; Streptophyta; Magnoliopsida; Arecales; Arecaceae
Source: RefSeq, a predicted model, not a curated record